GCGUUUGUAGUCCAACGAUUAGAUAAUUGCCUUCCAAACAAUAGGCCAGGGUUCGACUCCCGUCAGACGCA
Nicotiana attenuata is the source of this 71-nucleotide non-coding RNA. Lineage: Eukaryota; Viridiplantae; Streptophyta; Magnoliopsida; Solanales; Solanaceae. The record is from Rfam.